GCGGAGGGCGAAACCGCACGGUGCGGUCGUGGCUUGACACACCAACGGCCGCCUGAUGAAGACGGCGAGGUUCGACUCCUCCGCCCUCCGCA
This 92-nucleotide transfer RNA is filed under the name Planctomycetota bacterium. RNAcentral's name for it is "Planctomycetes bacterium (groundwater metagenome) tRNA-Val". The record is from RNAcentral. Lineage: Bacteria; Pseudomonadati; Planctomycetota.